AUGGACGUGGACGCGGCGCCGGCGCUGAAGAGGAAGGACGCGCCGGAGGUUUGGGUGGACGAUGACGUCGGCCCUGGGUUCCCCGUCGCCUCCCGCGCCACCAAGAUCCGCCGCCUGAACGCGGAUGUGCUGCCUGUCGUGCCCGGCGCGGUCGUGCCCCCGCCGCAGACGCUCCCACAGACGCAGCCGGUGGCGGGCUUCGGGGUGGUGGAGGAGGCGCCGAUGUGCGGCGACGUGCCGGUGGACGUGGCGCCGCCGGAGGUGGCGGCCAACGAGGAGAGGGCGAUCGUCUUGUACCGGCCCGCGGACGCCGAGCGCAGGCUUCUGCUGGGCCCGCUCCGGCCCGGCGGCCAUCUCCGCGUCAGCCCCGAGUGGAUCCAAGCGCUCAACGGCACGACGCUGCAAGAGGCGAGCAACCGCCGCGCGCUGUUCGAGGGGCUCGCCGGAACGGAGACCUCGAACAUGGCGAUGGUCCCCUGGGCGCCGCCCCGCGCGCAGGCGGCGUCCACGGCGGCGGAGAUGAUGGAGGCCGAGGACGGCGAGGGCGCGUCCAUGGAGGUCGAGCAGGACAGGGUCGACCAGCAGCUUUCCAUGCCCCAGUGGCCGCCGCAGCAGCAGCAGCAGCACUACAACUACAUGGUGCAGCAGCAGCCGAUCCCGGUGGCGUGGUCAUGGUGA
This 678-nucleotide ribosomal RNA is filed under the name Triticum aestivum (bread wheat). Its description in RNAcentral is "partial small subunit ribosomal RNA". Lineage: Eukaryota; Viridiplantae; Streptophyta; Magnoliopsida; Poales; Poaceae. The record is from RNAcentral.